Molecule: unclassified non-coding RNA, 254 nt
Filed under: Basidiomycota sp.
Lineage: Eukaryota; Fungi; Basidiomycota
Description: partial contains small subunit ribosomal RNA, internal transcribed spacer 1, and 5.8S ribosomal RNA
Rfam family: Eukaryotic small subunit ribosomal RNA (bases 1-47)
Source: RNAcentral
AAAGUCGUAACAAGGUUUCCGUAGGUGAACCUGCGGAAGGAUCAUUAAAGAUUCGGCCCUCGGGCUACUCUUUUCUUUGGCUGUGCGCCUUCGGGCUUGCACGCCAUUGAUAAAUCACACACACCCGUGCACCCACAUUUGGUUGUGACGUCGUCCUCGCGGGCGACGCCGCUUCCAAAUCACAUUUAACCACAAGUCCAGAAUGUAACAAACCAUAAAAGUAACAACUUUCAACAACGGAUCUCUUGGCUCUC